Molecule: RNA transcript, 3042 nt
Organism: Zingiber officinale
Lineage: Eukaryota; Viridiplantae; Streptophyta; Magnoliopsida; Zingiberales; Zingiberaceae
Gene name: probable LRR receptor-like serine/threonine-protein kinase At4g29180
Exons: 7
Source: RefSeq, a predicted model, not a curated record
GGAUCAGUUUAUGGAUGCACGGUGGGCGGACUGCCUGGCUCGGGCGGCCACCACCUAUGCGACCCAAACUACAGGAUGGGUGGGAAUGUGACUGAUCAAUCAAUUGUGCCGGAUUCCAGCCGGAAAGGUGGACCACAUCAAUGGCGAUCAGUUCGCGCCUUCCGUCGUCCUCCAGACGGCGCCGGCGGCGGCGGCGGCGACGACCGACACUAACACUUCCCUUUCAUUCUACUUUACCGAUGCACCGCUGCUCGAGUUCUACUUUUCCUUGCACUUCACCGAGGUGGAGCUCCUUCCUCCGAAGGCCACGCGAGUGCCCGAUGUUUACCUUAAUUCCCAGUUGGCUCUCGGUGGAUACCAGCCGCCCUACCUCCUGUCAGACUAGUUGUACAAUUUGGAUCCGCUAACAGGCUCGUCCGAGUAUGUCUUCGCCCUCAACGCUACCCUCAAUUCCACCCUCCCGCCAUCUUGAACGCCCUCCAGGUGUACUACGCGAUGAACAUCAGGGUGAAUGCCACGUUGCCACUGACGCCAACGAUGGUAUGUAUCCGACAUUUACUAUCUUUGAUUGAGGUAAAUUAUAUCUAACGUUUGUGUGAAUGGUUCCAAUGUUGGAUUUGGGGUAACUACUUGAGGCCAUGAUAGCGAUCAAAGCAGAAUAUCUGGUUAAGAAAACUUGGCAGGGCGAUCCGUGUGCCCCAAAGGAAUAUGCUUCAUGCUUGGGUUGGCUUGAAUUGUAGCCAUUCAUCUUUAAGGCCUAAGGGUCGUAUUCAUGUAAGUCAAAAUGCAUUGGGAACUAACAAAAUUUCUCGAAUAUACACCAAAAUGGUAAUAUGAGUUUCUUGAUAUUAUUUACCAACCUAGCUACAUAUUUGGUCGUAUUCAUGUGAGUCAAAAUGCAUUGAGAUUUGAGAACUAAAACAAAACAUUCUUGAACACACAGAAUGGGAAUAUGAGUUUUUUGUUAUUAUUUUGCUAGCCAAGCUGCACCUUUUUUCCUGCAGAAACAUCUCUUCUAGUGGAUUGACUGGAACCAUAUCAGAUUCUUUUGCUUUGCUUGAUGCCUCUGAGUAUUUGUUCACCAACCACACAAUUCCAGGCAACACUGAGAGUAAAAAGAAGAUAAACACACUUAUUAUUCUGGUUAUUUGUUGUGCUGUCCUUGGGUUGCUAUUGAUUCUUAUGCUGGCAGGAUGGUUUAUUUGGCUGAGAAAAAAGGGGAAAAGGUAAUAAUAUUGAGGAGAAUCUGUGUCUCUGAUUUGUUUAUGUAAUGUUUGUCCAAAUUUCUGUAAAUUCAUCUUGUUCCUUAUUUUUGUCAAAAGUUUUGGUUGCGUUGAAUGUGACACGGCAUAUUGAAGCAACCAUAGCUCAGAAAACUGAACAUGGACCACAUCUGCAAGUUGAUGGUGAGAAAUUCACUUUCAAUCAUCUGCAAGUAAUUACUAACGACUUUGCUCAAGUCAUUGGGAAAGGGGCUUUUGCGACAUUCUAUCUAGGUCAUUCGGACGAACUCAAGUUGCAGUCAAAGUGCAUUCAUGAUUUACUUCACAGCAGACCCAAGAAUUUGAAUGAGGCAAGGCAGCUACUAAGGAUUCAUCAUAGGAAUGUUGUUUCUCUUCUGGGUUACUGCAGAGAUGAAACUUUUUUAGCUCUUGUUUAUGAGUACAUGCCCCAUGGAAGCCUCAAAGAUCAUUUCCAAGGUAAAACAGGCAUUGAUCAGGAAUAUGGAGAGUUAUACUAUGCAAGUGGUAACUUGUCUCAUUACAUUAUAACAUCAUGUUGGAACAUUUUCUAUCAUCAUUAUUUUUAUUAUGUUCAUGUGAAUCUGUGAACCUAUGACCUCGGGAGACAAUUAAAGACAAAAAAUCUUUAUCUUGACCAACCUUUCCAACUAGGUUUUCCUCUGCAAAAGAUGCUAAAAAUUCUCAAAUGUUGUAGCAAUAAGACGAAGUAUAAUAGCAUUUAGUAACUAGGCACUUGGAUCUUCUCUCUGAACAUGAUGUGGAUUUUGGUGAUGAUAUGAUACAUGAACGGACAAUUUAUCUAGAACCUUGAAUUGGAGAGCGUCUAAUGAUUGCAUUGGAAGUUGCUCAAGGACUUGACUAUCUCCACGGAGGAUGCAUGCCGCCUAUAAUACAUAGAGAUUUGAAGACCUAUAAUAUUCUUUUAGGUGAAAAACUUGAGGCCGAACUAACAGACUAUGGGAUAUCUAAAUCUUUCAAUAAUAACACAGAUGUCACCGCCUCGAAAUGGUUGGAACCCCAGGAUACACUGACCCUGAGUUCCAUAAAACUUACCAGCUUAUGGAGAAGAGUGACAUAUAUAGCUUCGGAGUGGUCCCUCUGGAGCUAAUCACUAGCCAACGAGCCAUACAGUCCAGCAGAAGUAAGGUUCACAUUGUUCAAUAUAUGGCAUCCUAUAUUGCCCCAGGGAACAUCGAUGCUGUAGUUGUCAAUAUAUCUCACGGGGCAUUCAGUAACAACAGGUCUUGCAAUGCAGUGCAAGCAGAUACCUAGAGCCGUAACUUCCAUGAGGCCAGAGAGGCAACCGCCUCAGGGCCCAACCCAAUGAAAGACCCAUUUUUUAAUUAUAUAAAAGACAUGGACCCUAAAUAGCUGUUAAACCUAUUCUCACGACUCCGAGGCACACACCGACGCAUGACUCUUCUUUGGACGCAAUUUCUUCUCUGGUGUUGCUCUUCUUUGCAUGCGAUUUCUUCUUUGACGUUCUUUCUACCAAGGCAUGGAUCCACGGAACAAGAGGUCUCGUCGAACACAGGUACGACUCUACAGAUACCUCUGCUGAUAGGCCAAUGAUAGUCGACAUUGUGAACCGGCUCAAGGAGUGCAUGGAACUUGUGGCUACGAGUGAGGAUAGCACAAAUUGGAAUGUCGAAGGUGAAAGAUCUGUCCAGUUUAACGCACUUGAGGUAGAAGGGUCGAACCAUCACCUAGGUCCAAGAUGAAUUGAAAAUCUUGUCUUUCCCUGUAUGAGAUGCGAGAUUCUUCAACAGCGUUAUCUUGAAAUGGUGUGUAUUUCUCA